This 350-nucleotide ribosomal RNA is filed under the name uncultured bacterium. Its description in RNAcentral is "bacterial SSU rRNA". It matches the Rfam family "Bacterial small subunit ribosomal RNA", at positions 29 to 361 of the family's 1533-position model. The record is from RNAcentral.
AACGAACGCUGGCGGCGUGGAUAAGACAUGCAAGUCGAGCGGGAACUUUCGCUGUAGCAAUACAGUGAAAGUUCUAGCGGCGAACGGGUGCGUAACACGUGGACAAUCUGCCUUAAAGUGGGGGGAUAGCUCGGCGAAAGCCCGAAUUAAUACCGCAUGUGAUGAGAGACGACAUCGUCUUGAAAUCAAAGCCGGGGCAACCUGGCGCUUUUUGAGGAGUCCGCGGCCAUCAGCUUGUUGGUGAGGUAACGGCUCACCAAGGCUAUGACGGGUAGCUGGUCUGAGAGGACGACCAGUCACACUGGAACUGAGACACGGUCCAGACACCUACGGGUGGCAGCAGUCGAGAA